This 550-nucleotide ribosomal RNA is filed under the name Hepatozoon canis. RNAcentral's name for it is "bacterial SSU rRNA". It matches the Rfam family "Eukaryotic small subunit ribosomal RNA", at positions 227 to 765 of the family's 1831-position model. The record is from RNAcentral. Lineage: Eukaryota; Apicomplexa; Hepatozoidae.
GCGUGCUUUUACAGUAUGGAAAUUGGUGAUUUAUAAUAACUUGGCAAAUCGCAAAGUGAAAACAGGCGAUAAAUCAUUCAAGUUUCUGACCUAUCAGCUUUCGACGGUAUGGUAUUGGCUUACCGUGGCAGUGACGGUUAACGGGGGAUUAGGGUUCGAUUCCGGAGAGGGAGCCUGAGAAACGGCUACCACAUCUAAGGAAGGCAGCAGGCGCGCAAAUUACCCAAUUCUAACAGUUUGAGAGAGGUAGUAACAAGAAAUAACAAUACAAGGCAAUUAAAAUGCUUUGUAAUUGGAAUGAUAGAAAUUUAAACCCUUUUUAAAGUAUCAAUUGGAGGGCAAGUCUGGUGCCAGCAGCCGCGGUAAUUCCAGCUCCAAUAGCGUAUAUUAAAAUUGUUGCAGUUAAAAAGCUCGUAGUUGAAGUUCUGCUAAAAGUAACCGGUCUGCUUUUAAUAAAAGUGGUAUCUUGGUGUGUAUUUAGCAAUGAUGUCCUUUGAAGAGUUUUUUACUUUAUUGAAUAAAGCAUAUCCGGACUUUUACUUUGAAAAAU